RNAcentral lists this ribosomal RNA (369 nucleotides) under uncultured eukaryote. Its description in RNAcentral is "partial 18S ribosomal RNA". It matches the Rfam family "Eukaryotic small subunit ribosomal RNA", at positions 592 to 975 of the family's 1831-position model. The record is from RNAcentral.
CAAUAGCGUAUAUCAAAGUUGUUGCAGUUAAAAAGCUCGUAGUUGGAUUUCUGGUCGGAAGCUCCUGUCCUCUGAUGAGCGUACAAGUGCGUCCUACCAUCCUUCUGUUAACCUUUAAGGCUUUCGCGGCUUUCUAGGGGCUCAGAUAUUUUACCUUGAGAAAAUUAGAGUGUUUCAGGCAGGCUAGCGCCGGAAUACAUUAGCAUGGAAUAAUGGAAUAGGACUUUUGCCUCUUCUGUUGGUCAUGAGGCUCGAGUAAUGAUUAAUAGGGAUAGUUGGGGGCAUUAGUACUUAACUGUCAGAGGUGAAAUUCUCGGAUUUGUUAAAGACUAACUUACGCGAAAGCAUUUGCCAAGGAUGUUUNCAUUA